RNAcentral lists this long non-coding RNA (201 nucleotides) under Elaeis guineensis (African oil palm). RNAcentral's name for it is "long non-coding RNA (EGUI_LNC045895)". The record is from RNAcentral. Lineage: Eukaryota; Viridiplantae; Streptophyta; Magnoliopsida; Arecales; Arecaceae.
AGGGAGAGACACACCAUCAAUCAAUUUAGUGGGUGUGUGUGGUCCAUUUACUAUGAUACUCCAUAUAUCAUAGUCAAGUGCUUAAAUAAAAAUUUUCAUUCAAGCUUUUCAAUAGGUGUAGUUUGACCCAUUGAAAAGUGAAGGUUGGUUUGUGGAUUGCCCCUCGGCUAGGGAUGUGUCAAAUUAGGCUGCCAUUGACCU